UGACAGUAACACCAGAGGUAGUAAAAACAUCGUCAUUCACAAAUAUAUACUGCUUUUGGACCAUGCAUUAAAUUUAAUAGAUAUUUCUUUAUAUAUAAUGUUAUUAAUAAAAAAAAACAAAUCUAUAAAUAAUAUAAUUAACAAAUUAAGUUUAAGUAACACUCUUGUUUUAUUAAUUUAUAAAUUGUUAUAUAUAACUGUAAGCACGAACAUGUUAAAAAAUAAAAUCUCUAGUUUUGCAUUAAACAUAGUAUAUAAUUUUUUAUUGAACAAUCAUUAUUAUAACAUAGUAAAAGAAGGUGUUUACGAUACAUAUACAGACAGUAAUUGUAACAUACCAUAUGGGCAUAACACCCAUAACACACAUAACACACAUAACAUACGUAACAUACGUAAUGUUAAUAAAGUACCUGGUACUAUUCCACGUUCCAGUAAAUAUAGUUCUACAUCACCCAACUCUAGCAGUACGUGUGACGUUACUAUCACACGUAGUGAUUAUAUAAAUUCUGACGAAUCAUGUGAAUUUAUAAAGACAAAUUUUAAAUUCUUGUCAGAAGAAAAAAAAAAAAUAAAAAUAAAAAAAAUGAAACAAAGAUAUAAAAACUUAUCUAUCUUAAUUAAUUUUAUUUUUUUUAUUCUUUCGAAGUAUACAAAAAAAAAGAUUAAAACUGUGACAAAAGGACACGCAAAAACGGCAACGCAGAAGACAGCGCAGAUGCCGACGCAACGUACAACGCAAAGUACAAUGCAAAGUACAGCGCAAAGUACAGCGCAGAUGCCUACCAAUUUAUACACUAAUAUCGUAAACGUAUACGAAAUGGAAAAAUGGUUGAAUGUUGAAAAUAUUAGUUUUCAAAACCAUGAAAAAAAUUACCUAAAAAUGGACAUCCAUUUUAUUAAAAACAUAAUGUCUAUGUUACAUAAAAUAUUAAAACGAGGAAUGUGUAUAGACAUAUGUAUAAAAAACAAAGACAUAGAAUGUAUUGAUAUGAAUAUAUUGGUGCAGUAUAAUUAUAAACAUUUUAUUAGUAAACAUAGUAAACUGAAUGAAAAUAUAAAUUUAUUAAAACGCAAUAAUAACAAUAGUUGUACUAAUGGACAUAACAAAAAUCCACCAAAUGGGAAUAAUGAUCAAGUUUGUUCUAAUGAAACUAACGGCUCAAAAGAGAACAUAAACGUGGAAGAAACCAACAAAAGUGAAAACAAAAAAAUGACUGAUACUGAAAAAACUAAAAAUUGGAAGGAAAAAAAAAGUUUGAUUAAGAAUGAGGGUCUUGUUAAAGGAACUGGUUUGGGUAAAGGUACAAACUUGCGCAAAGGUAGAGGUUUAAGUAAAGGUAUAGGUUUGCGCAAAGGCACAGAUUUGGGUAAGGGCACAGGUUUGGGUAAGGGCACAGGUUUGGGUAAAGACAAAAAAGAACAGAACCGAGAAAAAAACAAUAAUAAUAAUAACGAUAAAAGCAGCGACGACAACGACAACGAAGACAACUUUAGCGAUACAGCACUAAUUCCUUUUGCAGAUGACAAUAUAAAAAAUUUAAGAAUUUUUAAAAAAAUACUUUUUAAUAGCUAUACUAAAAUAUUACUAACAUUUUGUAACGUAUAUAAUGAUAUUAUUAUUGAAUGUCUACAUAUCCAAUUACUGUUAUUCUACUUUCAAUAUAUAUUUUUACUUUUAAAAAAAAAAAUUGUAAUAAAAAAUAUAAAUAAUGGUUACACCCUACCGCAACAAUAUAUUUUAGUAUACUUUUUAAGUUACUACAAAAUGGAUAAACAAAUAUACAAGUUUCUAAAAACAAAUUAUUUUUUUAUUCUUAAAUAUGUUACAUAUAUUCAAAACGCUACAGUUUCUGACAAUUGUGUUUUACCAAAUAUAACUUCUGAAAACGAUGUGACGGAUAAUGUUAUAAGUACCUCAACAAAUACCAAUAAAAAUGAAACAAAUACAAAUAAAGACAAAUUGAUAAAUACAAACAAACACGUAAACUAUCAUUAUACUACUUUAAAAGAACAAGACAAUUAUAAAAAUUAUUGUAAACUAUUUUAUGAAUAUACGAUAAACAAGUAUAAACAAUAUAGCAAUGACAACACCAAUGAAUAUAAAGGAAACUAUAACUACAAUAGAAAUUUGAAUAAUAAUGUUUCCAAAUCAACAUACGUCUGCAUGUUGGACUUGUAUUGCCCUUGCUGCAGUGAAAUAAAAAUUUUAUUUUUAUCUACUAUUCUUUUUAUAAAUUUUAUGCUCCAAAACUUUCCAUUAUUUUUUUUACAAACAAAUGAUGAUAUAUCAAAUAGUGACAAAUUAAAUAGUGACAAAUUAAAUAGUGAAAAAUUAAAUAGUGA
Piliocolobus tephrosceles (Ugandan red Colobus) is the source of this 2343-nucleotide long non-coding RNA. NCBI's taxonomy places the organism in Eukaryota, Metazoa, Chordata, Mammalia, Primates, Cercopithecidae. The record is from Ensembl.